Molecule: signal recognition particle RNA, 225 nt
Filed under: chicken gut metagenome
Description: Bacterial large signal recognition particle RNA
Rfam family: Bacterial large signal recognition particle RNA
About the family: The signal recognition particle (SRP) is a universally conserved ribonucleoprotein involved in the co-translational targeting of proteins to membranes. Archaeal SRP consists of a 7S RNA and homologues of the eukaryotic SRP19 and SRP54 proteins.
Source: RNAcentral
GCGCUAGGUGGGGAGAUAGCGGUGCCCUGAACCUGCAAUCCGCUACAGCAGGACUGAAUGCCCUUCCCGACCGCCAAGGUGGAAGGCCGCGCCGUAUAAGGGGUGUUGAUUACAAGGUCUUAUGCAACCGUCAACUGCGAACCGUGUCAGGAUAGGGAUAUAGCAGCACUAAACAGUCCCGACGGUGUGCCAUAAGGUUGCUUUGUAGGAGCUACCUGUACGGUU